UUGACAAACGGAGGAAGGUGGGGACGACGUCAAAUCAUCAUGCCCCUUAUGUCCUGGGCUACACACGUACUACAAUGGCAAUAACAGAGGGCAGCCAAACCGCGAGGUUGAGCGAAUCCCAAAAUAUUGUCUCAGUUCAGAUUGCAGGCUGCAACUCGCCUGCAUGAAGUCGGAAUUGCUAGUAAUGGCAGGUCAGCAUACUGCCGUGAAUACGUUCCCGGGCCUU
Molecule: ribosomal RNA, 226 nt
Filed under: uncultured Fastidiosipila sp.
Lineage: Bacteria; Bacillati; Bacillota; Clostridia; Eubacteriales; Oscillospiraceae
Description: partial 16S ribosomal RNA
Rfam family: Bacterial small subunit ribosomal RNA
Source: RNAcentral